AAUGACAAGAAAAAAA
Molecule: small RNA, 16 nt
Filed under: Arabidopsis thaliana (thale cress)
Lineage: Eukaryota; Viridiplantae; Streptophyta; Magnoliopsida; Brassicales; Brassicaceae
Description: ATSL142240
Source: RNAcentral